UGUUUGAUGUUCUAACGUGGACCCGUGAUCCGGGUUGCGGACAGUGUCUGGUGGGUAGUUUGACUGGGGCGGUCUCCUCCUAAAGAGUAACGGAGGAGCACGAAGGUUGGCUAAUCCUGGUCGGACAUCAGGAGGUUAGUGCAAUGGCAUAAGCCAGCUUGACUGCGAGCGUGACGGCGCGAGCAGGUGCGAAAGCAGGUCAUAGUGAUCCGGUGGUUCUGAAUGGAAGGGCCAUCGCUCAACGGAUAAAAGGUACUCCGGGGAUAACAGGCUGAUACCGCCCAAGAGUUCAUAUCGACGGCGGUGUUUGGCACCUCGAUGUCGGCUCAUCACAUCCUGGGGCUGAAGUAGGUCCCAAGGGUAUGGCUGUUCGCCAUUUAAAGUGGUACGCGAGCUGGGUUUAGAACGUCGUGAGACAGUUCGGUCCCUAUCUGCCGUGGGCGCUGGAGAACUGAGGGGGGCUGCUCCUAGUACGAGAGGACCGGAGUGGACGCAUCACUGGUGUUCGGGUUGUCAUGCCAAUGGCACUGCCCGGUAGCUAAAUGCGGAAGAGAUAAGUGCUGAAAGCAUCUAAGCACGAAACUUGCCCCGAGAUGAGUUCUCCCUGAGACUUUAGGUCUC
RNAcentral lists this ribosomal RNA (621 nucleotides) under Salmonella enterica. RNAcentral's name for it is "partial 23S ribosomal RNA". It matches the Rfam family "Bacterial large subunit ribosomal RNA", at positions 2211 to 2827 of the family's 2925-position model. Lineage: Bacteria; Pseudomonadati; Pseudomonadota; Gammaproteobacteria; Enterobacterales; Enterobacteriaceae. The record is from RNAcentral.